UUAUUAGCUGCAUCAUUGACGUUAGCGACAGAAGAAGCACGGGCUACUCCGUGCCAGCAGCCGCGUAUACGGAGGGUGCGAGCGUUAAUCGGAAUUACUGGCGUAAAGCGCAUGCAGGUGGUUUGUUAAGUCAGAUGUGAAAGCCCGGGGCUCAACCUCGGAAUUGCAUUUGAAACUGGCAGACUAGAGUACUGUAGAGGGGGGUAGAAUUUCAGGUGUAGCGGUGAAAUGCGUAGAGAUCUGAAGGAAUACCGGUGGCGAAGGCGGCCCCCUGGACAGAUACUGACACUCAGAUGCGAAAGCGUGGGGAGCAAACAGGAUUAGAUACCCUGGUAGUCCACGCCGUAAACGAUGUCUACUUGGAGGUUGUGGCCUUGAGCCGUGGCUUUCGGAGCUAACGCGUUAAGUAGACCGCCUGGGGAGUACGGUCGCAAGAUUAAAACUCAAAUGAAUUGACGGGGGCCCGCACAAGCGGUGGAGCAUGUGGUUUAAUUCGAUGCAACGCGAAGAACCUUACCUACUCUUGACAUCCAGAGAACUUUCCAGAGAUGGAUUGGUGCCUUCGGGAACUCUGAGACAGGUGCUGCAUGGCUGUCGUCAGCUCGUGUUGUGAAAUGUUGGGUUAAGUCCCGCAACGAGCGCAACCCUUAUCCUUGUUUGCCAGCGAGUAAUGUCGGGAACUCCAGGGAGACUGCCGGUGAUAAAUCUGAGGAAGGUGGGGACGACGUCAAGUCAUCAUGGCCCUUACGAGUAGGGCUACACACGUGCUACAAUGGCGCAUACAGAGGGCGGCCAACUUGCGAAAGUGAGCGAAUCCCAAAAAGUGCGUCGUAGUCCGGAUUGGAGUCUGCAACUCGACUCCAUGAAGUCGGAAUCGCUAGUAAUCGUGGAUCAGAAUGCCACGGUGAAUACGUUCCCGGGCCUAGUACACACCGCCCGUCACACCAUGGGAGUGGGCUGCAAAAGAAGUAGGUAGUUUAACCUGCGGGGACGCCUACCA
This 1000-nucleotide ribosomal RNA is filed under the name Vibrio parahaemolyticus. Its description in RNAcentral is "bacterial SSU rRNA". It matches the Rfam family "Bacterial small subunit ribosomal RNA", at positions 454 to 1459 of the family's 1533-position model. The record is from RNAcentral. Lineage: Bacteria; Pseudomonadati; Pseudomonadota; Gammaproteobacteria; Vibrionales; Vibrionaceae.